RNAcentral lists this non-coding RNA (112 nucleotides) under Paramagnetospirillum marisnigri. Its description in RNAcentral is "Magnetospirillum marisnigri TPP sequence". It matches the Rfam family "TPP riboswitch aptamer (THI element)". Rfam says of the family: Vitamin B(1) in its active form thiamin pyrophosphate (TPP) is an essential coenzyme that is synthesised by coupling of pyrimidine and thiazole moieties in bacteria. The previously detected thiamin-regulatory element, thi box was extended, resulting in a new, highly conserved RNA secondary structure, the THI element, which is widely distributed in eubacteria and also occurs in some archaea. Analysis of operon structures identified a large number of new candidate thiamin-regulated genes, mostly transporters, in various prokaryotic organisms. Lineage: Bacteria; Pseudomonadati; Pseudomonadota; Alphaproteobacteria; Rhodospirillales; Magnetospirillaceae. The record is from Rfam by way of RNAcentral.
GGCAUUCCGAAGGGGAGCCCCAUGACUGGGGCUGAGAGGCCGGAAACCAUGCCGGCGACCCUUGGAACCUGAUCCGGGUCAUUCCGGCGAAGGGAUCGGAACCUCGCUCUUC